AGGCUGUUGCUGGUCUCUCUCUCACUGAGGGCAUGUGCACGCUUGUCAUCUUUAUUUUUCCAACUGUGCACAUAUUGUAGACCUGGAGUCGUAUCUUGUUGAUUCAUUUCGAGUUGGCACUGCAGUGCUUUUGUAACAAAAAGUCUGCUUUGCCUUUUGGCUUUUCAGGUCUAUGUCAUUUUUCACAACCUCACAUGUGUUUAGAAUGUUGAAUCAGGUCCUUUUUGGUACCUAUAAAAAAGUUAAAUAUACAACUUUCAGCAACGGAUCUCUUGGCUCUCGCAUCGAUGAAGAACGCAGCGAAAUGCGAUAAGUAAUGUGAAUUGCAGAAUUCAGUGAAUCAUCGAAUCUUUGAACGCAUCUUGCGCUCCUUGGUAUUCCGAGGAGCAUGCCUGUUUGAGUGUCAUUUCAAGUUCUCAAACCACAUCAAUGAUUUCUUGUUGGUGUGGCUUGGAUGUGGGGGAUUAUUCAUUUUGCAGGCUUCUGUCAAAGGAGGUCAGCUCCCCUGAAAUAGAUUAGUAGUAUCUGAGCUACUUACAGGUGUGAUAAUUAUCUAUGCCUUUCAGUAUGCUGCAUAAACAGAUGGCACUGCUUCCAACAAGUGAAGGGUCUCGAGAAGGGAUUCCACAUUUGACAAAUUUGACCUCAAAUCAGGUAGGACUACC
Molecule: ribosomal RNA, 665 nt
Filed under: Inocybe subpaleacea
Lineage: Eukaryota; Fungi; Basidiomycota; Agaricomycetes; Agaricales; Inocybaceae
Description: eukaryotic LSU rRNA
Rfam family: 5.8S ribosomal RNA (bases 253-406)
Source: RNAcentral